Molecule: transfer RNA, 61 nt
Filed under: Lepidonotopodium sp. YZ-2018
Lineage: Eukaryota; Metazoa; Annelida; Polychaeta; Phyllodocida; Polynoidae
Description: tRNA-Leu
Source: RNAcentral
ACUAUGUUGGCAGAAAUAUGCUACUGACUUAAGCUCAGUCCACGGGGCAACCCACGUAGUA